CAUCCUACGCUCUCUUAAAGCAAGCAAGCCAGCUUCAGUACAGAUUGCCUUAAUAUCAGCUCCAGAAAACUCAUCCUUUGUCAUGACAAAUUCUUCCAGGUUGACAUCAUCUGCCAGUGUCAUUCUAGAGGUGUGUAUCUAAAGAAUUUAAUAAGAAACGAAAAACUCAGCAAAAAUCAACAAAAGGAGAAAAAGCAUGAACUGAUACACUGUACUAACUACUAAGCAUAAUCAUAUUCUUGAAAAUGACAAACCUGAAAAAUUCGACGUCUUGUUUUAAUAUCUGGAAGAGGGAAUUCAAUCUUCCUAUCAAUACGACCAGGUCGAAGCAAGGCUGGAUCGAGGCUUUCGAUUCUGUUGGUUGCAAGAAUGACUUUAACAUCCCCCCUUGAGUCAAAACCAUCUAACUGGUUCAGCAACUCCAACAUGGUUCUCUGUAUUUCACGCUCACCGCCAGAAUGAGCAUCAUAUCUACAAUGACCAAACAUAAUAGUUUGAUAAGUUUAAUCAUCAUUUGCAUACAAUGGAAAAGAAAGGCGGGAAUAAUCAUUCUCAUUUAUAUACCUUUUGGUGCCAACUGCAUCUAUCUCAUCAAUGAAGACUAUAGAAGGAGAAAGUUCAUCCGCCACUCUGAACAGUUCUCUGACAAGUUUUGGGCCAUCACCCAAAUAUUUCUGAAUCAACUCACUUCCAACAACACGCAGGAAAGUUGCUGAUGUUGAGUUAGCCACAGCCUGAUAUUAGAAAUUUAGAACCAUCAUAAACAGUCUGGAAAAAAGAAUUUCUGGACUAACAGAUGUAGAUUACAACAGCAGCAUUCAAGUUACUAUCACAUAACAACUAAACUGUAAGAACUUUAUAGUUGCAAUAGAAAUCAAGAAACAUAAUCUCAAUACCAAAAUGGUACUAAAUGAAAUUUUGUAAAUGAACAAAGAGACGAUGAAAAAUAUUUAAUCUAUAUGUAUCAUCAAAAACAAUAGAGGUGUAUACUGUAUAUAGAUUAUAUAGAUAGACAGAGAUAUCACCACUUCCCGGCCAAACUGAAAUACAUAAAACUGGUACAGGGUCACAUGCUAAACUGAAAUACAUAAAAAUCAACAAACCUAAAAUAAAAGAAUGCUCUCACCUUGGCAAGUAAAGUUUUACCAGUUCCUGGCUCCCCAUAAAGUAUGACUCCCUUGGGAGGUCUAAUGCCAAUAUCUUCAUACAGUUCAGGAUGUGUCAGAGGUAGUUCCACAGCUUCUUUAAUUUCUUGGAUUUGUGAAUCUAAACCGCCAAUAUCAGCAUAGGAUUCCAAAGGAGCUUUUUCAACUUUCAUGACAGAAACCAUAGGAUCAACUUCAUCCUGAAGAAGCCCAACAACUGACAGAACCUGCAAAAGACAUUUUAGUUCCAUCACCUUUAUAUCCAACCAAAAACAACAUAUCCUGAUAUCAAAAUAUCCAGAAAUUAAGAAGUAUGUGAACAUAAGCCUCCGAGUAAAGCAUAUCAUCAAAUCUGAUGCAAAGUGAAAAUGCAAAAAGGUAAGGAUUAGAAAUAACAUAGUAAACUAAAAAGCACAAAGCUAAAAUAAUCAGUGUCUAUUAGCUAAAUUAGACGAUUCAGGAUGGCCAAUACAUAAUAAUACAACAAAACCUUCCAGACUGAAAAUAAUAUAACAUUGACCAAGACGUAGUUUGUCUGGUUUCUCCAACCAGUCAUAAACAAGUCAAAAAUGAAAGUUUGACUCAGCCUAAAACCUGAAAACAGUGUAAUAGUUUAAGUUAGACUACAAGUUAUGAGCAACAAAUCAUGAGAAAAGAAAAGUCUCCCAAACAGCUACAAGUAAAUUUUUCAACAAACUGUAUUACAACCUCUGAAGCUCUCCAAGUAAAUCCUACUCUUUUCAUUUCCUCUAUCCUCUUUUCAUUGUCUUUUCCCUUCUUUCUAGCCAAAUAGAUUUCUUUUGCUAAUAUAUCUGGAGCACUGCUAGUGAUCAUGUUACCUAAGGGUGUAAAACCUUCAAAGCAUAAAACUCAUGAUGAUAUAUGUCAUGUUAACCUCAUAAGUUUCUGAUGCAGGUUACAGUCAAGAGUAUUUGUGGUGAUCUAUGUCAAAUUAUCUUCAUUGGCUUGUGAUACAAUAGUCCAAACAUGAUCUUCCAAUCUUCAGCUAAACAAGUUCAUCAUACCUAAAUACCCGAGAACUGUGCAAAGACGUUGCACAGUUGCAACUUAAUUCAAACAAUACGACAGAAAAUAAGGUAUACAAAGAGUUCGACACCCCAAAUCCCAUCCCAAACACCGGAAAUUACCGCAAAUCCUAAACCAUCCGUCGCAACCCCAAAACAGCAAUCAGGUGAAAAGAAAACACAAAAACUGACCUUGUUGUGCAUAAGGAUGGCACAUCCCGGCUCCAGUUGAUCCUUAUCGACAAAGGACAGGAUGCUGACGUAGUAUUCCGGCCCAACCGACGACGAAACGAUGGCGUGGUUCUCGUCGAUGAGCUCCUCGAGGUUCCCGACACUCAUGGGCGACCCCCGGAGGUCGUCGACCUUGGAUCGGUCCUCCUCGUUCUUCUCCUCCUGGGGGCGGAGGCGCUCCUGGUUGGCGACGAACUCCUCCUCCAUGAGGAGGUAGUCCUUGACGCGCUCGAGCUUGAGUAGCCGUAGGCGGCACUUAGAAAGCGGGGUGACGGCCGGGAGACGGGCGGCGGCCUCGGGCCCCUUCUGCCUGCGCUGCUUCCUUCCCACGCGGGACGGCGGCGCCGCCGGCUCGAACUUCUUGUCCUUCUUGUCGCCGUCCCGCUUCCGAUCACCGGGGAGGCCCUGCUUGCCCAUGCCGCCGGGGGUUCCCUGGCCCAUCGAUCCUAGGGUUUCGAGGAUACCGAGAGGGUUCGAGAUCGAGGAUGAGGAGAGAAAGAAGGUGGUGCCAAUUUGGGGGCCGAUCUGAGGCAUUAUGUACUUCCCUUCAAAAGACACGCAUAGAUGACGUGUAAGGAUCGGAGCCGUUCGAUUAUUUUUCGUUUCUUUUCUUUUCUUUUUUAUUGAACCCGAGUGAAUCUCACCGUUUAAAUCGAAUUGAUGUAAAAGAAUAUAAGGUAAUUUUCCUAUAAAACAUUUACCUUUUGGAUUUUUUUAUCAUCUAUAUCUUCAUUUUAAUUUUCCUGCCUCCAAAUAAAAAUUACUUAAAAUCGUUCCUAAAAUUUUUUUUUUGUAUGUUAUAGUAUUUUGUCCAUCAUAAUAAAAACAUGGUAAAAUCUUAUUUUUAAAAAUAUUAUAAAUAAGUAUAUCUCAUAUUAUGAUUCAAAUAGGUAUUUAUAAUAGUUUAAUAAUAACAUAAUCCAAAUAGAAAUAAAAAAAAUUAGUUUGUUAUAAUAUUUUGACCAUCUCAAUAAAAACACUAUAUGAUCCACUCAAAAAUAUUAUAUAUGACACAAGUGGACUUCUAUAUCAAUAAUGACAAUGAAAGAAACAAAAUUAUGAUGGUACUGUUUUUUUUCAAUGGCAUUUGAAGUAUUUUUAAUUUUUCAAUAGAAUAUUAUAAAUACUGUUAAAAAUUGCUGUAAACGAAUCAAAUGAUAAAACAAAUAACAGCUUAAAAUUGGUAAAAUAUGAGCAAAGAAAAUUGAUAGAAAAAUUUUUGAAAUAUAUUUUGGAUAUUUUUUCAAAUUAAGGUUACUGUUUGGAACAAAAUAAAAUGGGGGUAUCUUAAGAAAAAUACCUAAAAUAUGAGUUUUUUCUAAAAAAACCCAAAAAAAAUAUGAUCGAUAUUUUUAAUAAAAAUAAAAUUCAUAUAUAUGACAUGAUUUUUUUUCUAGUAUUUUCACACUACCAACUAAAUUUGAGAUCAAUUUUGAUUAAAAAUUAGAUAUUUAAAUAGUUAGUAAGCAUUACAGCUCCCUAGUCAUGGUAUCUACAUUGAGAUGGGUUCAAAUGAGAGAAACAUGAGCUUGUCUAAUGCUAAAGGGAGAACACAUUACAAUAACAUUGUUCUUGCAAUAGACUAACAACCCUCAUAACAUACAUUAACAGUGUAAUAUAAUGUAAGCAGAUGAGAGAGCCAUGUCCACAUCACCUUUUCAUAUUCAACGAAGAGAUACCAAAUUAGAACAUAAAAUUUGCUAUAAGAAAUAAAAUUGGGACAAUCAUAAGAAUCAAUCGAUCUUUUUCCAAUAUAUAUAUAUAGAGAAUUCUGAACUCCAUGUUGAGGAUGCAUAGUGUCCCAGAAGAACAACGUCCCCGCUGAACAUUAAGUGUGAGCAAUUUUACCUGUGGCCAAAACAAAUCAGUUAAAUAGAGUGACACCAAAACUACCCGAACAAAUUAAAGUCAAUAAGUUGAGACCACAACUGUAGUGAAAAAGAUUUCCAAAUAACCACAAGGAUAAGAACAGUGAAAGCAAUUAGCAAACUCACGAAUAAACUGGAGACAUUUAAUAACUUUCUUAACAAUGGUAUUCGGAGGAUAAGUGGGCCAUGGACUAACAAAUUCCCAAGACAUAUCUCAGACAACCUUGACCACAUGUAGUGUUAAACAUACUAGGAAAACUGCCAGUGAGUUGAUGAUCCUUCUUUACAUUUCUGCUGAAACACCAACAGAGGUAGUUUGAAUGCAAAUAGCAGCAAUGCUAUCGAAAGCACUAGGUGCUAUACAGCAGCAAGGUCCCUUAUAAUUUUACUUUCAUUCGGGAUCGUUUUAAUCUUCUAAGAUUUCUACAUUUUUCACUCUGCCUGAAAUGAUGUGAACUGCAACAUUAAAUUGAUUAAUUAAGCUGCAGAUGAGAGUUGACGUCAAAGGAAAGAAGAAGAGGGAGCACAGAUAACUAUAAAGACAGAGUGCGACGGUGGAAGCAAACAAAGGCAAGAGAAAAGAGAGAGGAAGGAUAGGAGAGAAGCAGCAAAUGGUUUAUGACUACAAGGUGAGACAAGAGAGAGGGCAGCGAAGGCAGUGACAGUGGAUGUGGCUAGAGAGAGGAAAGGAGAGAAGAUGAAGGGAGAGAGACUAAAGAGGGAAGAAAGGACAGCAGCUGCGGGGGAUUUAUCAUGCAUGAAGAGGCAAGAGAGAAGACAAGCAGCAACAAAGCACCCAUAGAGAGUGGAGAGAAAGAAGACCAAGGGAAGAGAGAUGAGGAUAAAUAUAUUAGACAGAGAGAGGAGUUGUGACCGAUGAUGAAAGUCAAACAGCAAAACAUGUCAUUUCUAUUUUUGAUUUCUUACUAGAGAAGUCAAGCACCAACUUAAAGGUUUGAAGCUAGUUUUAAAUAAAACAUGUUAAUAAAUUUCAUCAUGAAAUGAACACAAUUUUCUUAAAAAGGUCAUUUAAGCUAAAACAUUUCUUACUCUUCAUCUGUGAUUAUCAAGACCAAAAAACAAAAGCCUUAAAAAAAUCACAAUAAUCAAAAGCAACAAAAAAGAUCAGCCUUCACAUCAAAAGGAAAGAGGAACAGUAACUCACAUGUAGAGUCCCUCUGGUACCCCUUCCUUCUUCUUAAACAUUACCUUCUCCUUGGCCUUCUUAAAGUCUGCAUGAGUUACCUAAGCAAAAAGUGAUGCAGCAACAAGUUACAGCCAUGUAUAGCUGAAAUCACUAAGUACAAAAUAAAGCAAACAGGCAUUAGCUUUAGCCCUCAAUCAAAUGCAGGAUAAAAGUCAGGUAGUCCAACACUAAAGAGUUGCAGUCCAGUAGAAUCUAAUCCCGUGAGUCUCUCUAAGAAGCCUAGUUGAUGUUUUUAUGCUUUUAUAACACAUUGGCGACUUACCCUCUGAGACAACCACCGGAUAGUUUCAUUGUUAAUAUUUCCCUACUAAAUCUGAUCUGUCAAAUUUAAUAUAUAGUUAUAUACAAACCAAGAAAUUAACGAAUUUGGCGGAUGUUUUUUCGAGCUUCCUUGAAUGAAACUAAAAAAAACGAAAAUAAUCUGAGUCCAUAUCAACACAAAACGUUUCAAAUUUUUCAUACAGUUCAACAUGAACAAAGUGAGCUAACAUGCAACUGAGACCUAAACAGGGGAGGUUUCUGAUUCUGUCAACGAACGGUUUUACCAGUAAACCAAUCUAAGUUUGCCUACAAUGAGCAGACCUCUUCCAGACCAGAUUUGAACUGUUUAGAGUUCAAACUCUUGCCUGUUUGAUGGUUUGGGGCUUUGAAUGAUUGGUUUCUAUCACAAUCUCAAUUCUCAACGCUAGGGAAGAAAGUGGAGACAAAAGAAGGAAAACAGAAACCAGAACACCCUGCCACUUCCAGCCAAGGAAUCACCACAUUUGUUUCUUCUCAACACUAGAAAAAAGACUAGAGAAAAAAAGUCCCUACAGAUGGAGGGGAGACUGUACCACCAUAAAGCUAUGUAACAUUUCUUUCCCCACAAAAUUGAAAACUAUCUUCCUUUUUUAUCCUGAAGGGAGAAGAUUCCUGUUCCAGCAGCAUGACAUGAACCAUUCCCUACACUAUCAUGUGAGACUAUUGGAGGUUGAAAUACAUUCCAAAAGCAUGUAGGCAUCUCAAGGAAAAGAACUUAUGACCAAAAUGAUUACAACUGACGACAUUAUUAAAGAAACCAAAUGUUCUCUGCUUUGACCAUCAGAUAAGAAUACUAAUCUACAAUAUUAUGGCAAAUAUGACUUACCUUCAUCCUACGCUCUCUUAAAGCAAGCAAGCCAGCUUCAGUACAGAUUGCCUUAAUAUCAGCUCCAGAAAACUCAUCCUUUGUCAUGACAAAUUCUUCCAGGUUGACAUCAUCUGCCAGUGUCAUUCUAGAGGUGUGUAUCUAAAGAAUUUAAUAAGAAAAGAAAAACUCAGCAAAACUCAACAAAAGGAGAAAAAGAAUGAACUGAUACAUUGUACUAACUACUAAGCAUAAUCAUAUUCUUGAAAGUG
Molecule: long non-coding RNA, 6853 nt
Filed under: Musa acuminata (dwarf banana)
Lineage: Eukaryota; Viridiplantae; Streptophyta; Magnoliopsida; Zingiberales; Musaceae
Description: long non-coding RNA (MACU_LNC001766)
Source: RNAcentral